This 459-nucleotide ribosomal RNA is filed under the name uncultured bacterium. RNAcentral's name for it is "partial 16S ribosomal RNA". It matches the Rfam family "Bacterial small subunit ribosomal RNA", at positions 338 to 795 of the family's 1533-position model. The record is from RNAcentral.
CCUACGGGAGGCAGCAGUGAGGAAUAUUGGUCAAUGGGCGCGAGCCUGAACCAGCCAAGUCGCGUGAGGGAAGACGGUCCUAUGGAUUGUAAACCUCUUUUGUCGGGGAGUAACAGACGCCACGCGUGGCGUUCCGCGAGUACCCUAAGAAUAAGGAUCGGCUAACUCCGUGCCGGCAGCCGCGGUAAUACGGAGGAUGCGAGCGUUAUCCGGAUUUGUUGGGUUUAAGGGGUGCGCAGGCGGACGAUCAAGUCGGCGGUAAAAGUGAGCGGCUAAACCUCGUCGAGCCGUUGAAACUGGUGUUCUUGAGUGAGCGAGAAGUAGGCGGAAUGCGUGGUGUAGCGGUGAAAUGCAUAGAUAUCACGCAGAACUCCGAUUGCGAAGGCAGCAUACCGGAGCGCAACUGACGCUCAUGCACGAAAGUGUGGGUAUCGAACAGGAUUAGAUACCCGAGUAGUC